GAGGGUAUAGCUCAGGGCUAGAGCAUGUGCUUAGCAUGCAUGAGGUCCUGGGUUCCAUUCCCCAGUACCACUG
RNAcentral lists this transfer RNA (73 nucleotides) under Camelus bactrianus (Bactrian camel). It matches the Rfam family "tRNA". From Rfam's summary of the family: Transfer RNA (tRNA) molecules are approximately 80 nucleotides in length. Their secondary structure includes four short double-helical elements and three loops (D, anti-codon, and T loops). RNAcentral also lists the same sequence under 1 other name. The record is from Rfam by way of RNAcentral. Lineage: Eukaryota; Metazoa; Chordata; Mammalia; Artiodactyla; Camelidae.